GGGGAAUCUUCCGCAAUGGACGAAAGUCUGACGGAGCAACGCCGCGUGAGUGAUGACGGCCUUCGGGCUGUAAAGCUCUGUUAAUCGGGACGAAUGGUUCUUGUGCAAAUAGUGCGAGGAUUUGACGGUACCGGAAUAGAAAGCCACGGCUAACUACGUGCCAGCAGCCGCGGUAAUACGUAGGUGGCAAGCGUUGUCCGGAAUUAUUGGGCGUAAAGCGCGCGCAGGCGGAUUGGUCAGUCUGUCUUAAAAGUUCGGGGCUUAACCCCGUGAUGGGAUGGAAACUGCCAAUCUAGAGUAUCGGAGAGGAAAGUGGAAUUCCUAGUGUAGCGGUGAAAUGCGUAGAUAUUAGGAAGAACACCAGUGGCGAAGGCGACUUUCUGGACGAAAACUGACGCUGAGGCGCGAAAGCCAGGGGAGCGAACGGGAUUAGAUACCCCGGUAGUCCUGGCCGUAAACGAUGGGUACUAGGUGUAGGAGGUAUCGACCCCUUCUGUGCCGGAGUUAACGCAAUAAGUACCCCGCCUGGGGAGUACGACCGCAAGGUUG
RNAcentral lists this ribosomal RNA (549 nucleotides) under uncultured bacterium. RNAcentral's name for it is "bacterial SSU rRNA". It matches the Rfam family "Bacterial small subunit ribosomal RNA", at positions 356 to 896 of the family's 1533-position model. The record is from RNAcentral.